This 446-nucleotide ribosomal RNA is filed under the name uncultured bacterium. Its description in RNAcentral is "partial 16S ribosomal RNA". It matches the Rfam family "Bacterial small subunit ribosomal RNA", at positions 338 to 795 of the family's 1533-position model. The record is from RNAcentral.
CCUACGGGUGGCAGCAGUCGAGAAUCAUUCACAAUGGGGGAAACCCUGAUGGUGCGACGCCGCGUGGGGGAAUGAAGGUCUUCGGAUUGUAAACCCCUGUCAUGUGGGAGCAAAUUAAAAAGAUAGUACCACAAGAGGAAGAGACGGCUAACUCUGGGCCAGCAGCCGCGGUAAUACAGAGGUCUCAAGCGUUGUUCGGAAUCACUGGGCGUAAGGCGUGCGUAGGCUGUUUCGUAAGUCGUGUGUGAAAGGCGCGGGCUCAACCCGCGGACGGCACAUGAUACUGCGAGACUAGAGUAAUGGAGGGGGAACCGGAAUUCUCGGUGUAGCAGUGAAAUGCGUAGAUAUCGAGAGGAACACUCGUGGCGAAGGCGGGUUCCUGGACAGUAACUGACGCUGAGGCACGAAGGCCAGGGGAGCGAAAGGGAUUAGAUACCCCUGUAGUU